RNAcentral lists this transfer RNA (88 nucleotides) under Alphaproteobacteria bacterium. RNAcentral's name for it is "tRNA-Ser". It matches the Rfam family "tRNA". From Rfam's summary of the family: Transfer RNA (tRNA) molecules are approximately 80 nucleotides in length. Their secondary structure includes four short double-helical elements and three loops (D, anti-codon, and T loops). Lineage: Bacteria; Pseudomonadati; Pseudomonadota; Alphaproteobacteria. The record is from RNAcentral.
GGAGAGGUGGCCGAGUGGUUUAAGGCGCUCGCCUGGAACGCGAGUUGGGCGCAAGCCCUCGCAGGUUCGAAUCCUGUCCUCUCCGCCA